GCAGGCCUAACACAUGCAAGUCGAGCGGUAGCACAGAGAGCUUGCUCUCGGGUGACGAGCGGCGGACGGGUGAGUAAUGUCUGGGAAACUGCCUGAUGGAGGGGGAUAACUACUGGAAACGGUAGCUAAUACCGCAUAACGUCGCAAGACCAAAGUGGGGGACCUUCGGGCCUCAUGCCAUCAGAUGUGCCCAGAUGGGAUUAGCUGGUAGGUGGGGUAACGGCUCACCUAGGCGACGAUCCCUAGCUGGUCUGAGAGGAUGACCAGCCACACUGGAACUGAGACACGGUCCAGACUCCUACGGGAGGCAGCAGUGGGGAAUAUUGCACAAUGGGCGCAAGCCUGAUGCAGCCAUGCCGCGUGUGUGAAGAAGGCCUUCGGGUUGUAAAGCACUUUCAGCGGGGAGGAAGGCGGUGAGGUUAAUAACCUCGUCGAUUGACGUUACCCGCAGAAGAAGCACCGGCUAACUCCGUGCCAGCAGCCGCGGUAAUACGGAGGGUGCAAGCGUUAAUCGGAAUUACUGGGCGUAAAGCGCACGCAGGCGGUCUGUCAAGUCGGAUGUGAAAUCCCCGGGCUCAACCUGGGAACUGCAUUCGAAACUGGCAGGCUAGAGUCUUGUAGAGGGGGGUAGAAUUCCAGGUGUAGCGGUGAAAUGCGUAGAGAUCUGGAGGAAUACCGGUGGCGAAGGCGGCCCCCUGGACAAAGACUGACGCUCAGGUGCGAAAGCGUGGGGAGCAAACAGGAUUAGAUACCCUGGUAGUCCACGCUGUAAACGAUGUCGAUUUGGAGGUUGUGCCCUUGAGGCGUGGCUUCCGGAGCUAACGCGUUAAAUCGACCGCCUGGGGAGUACGGCCGCAAGGUUAAAACUCAAAUGAAUUGACGGGGGCCCGCACAAGCGGUGGAGCAUGUGGUUUAAUUCGAUGCAACGCGAAGAACCUUACCUGGUCUUGACAUCCACAGAACUUACCAGAGAUGCAUUGGUGCCUUCGGGAACUGUGAGACAGGUGCUGCAUGGCUGUCGUCAGCUCGUGUUGUGAAAUGUUGGGUUAAGUCCCGCAACGAGCGCAACCCUUAUCCUUUGUUGCCAGCGGUCCGGCCGGGAACUCAAAGGAGACUGCCAGUGAUAAACUGGAGGAAGGUGGGGAUGAC
This 1149-nucleotide ribosomal RNA is filed under the name Klebsiella pneumoniae. RNAcentral's name for it is "bacterial SSU rRNA". It matches the Rfam family "Bacterial small subunit ribosomal RNA", at positions 42 to 1183 of the family's 1533-position model. Lineage: Bacteria; Pseudomonadati; Pseudomonadota; Gammaproteobacteria; Enterobacterales; Enterobacteriaceae. The record is from RNAcentral.